RNAcentral lists this ribosomal RNA (449 nucleotides) under uncultured bacterium. RNAcentral's name for it is "bacterial SSU rRNA". It matches the Rfam family "Bacterial small subunit ribosomal RNA", at positions 330 to 793 of the family's 1533-position model. The record is from RNAcentral.
GCCAGACUCCUACGGGAGGCAGCAGUGGGGAAUAUUGCACAAUGGGGGAAACCCUGAUGCAGCGACGCCGCGUGAGCGAAGAAGUAUUUCGGUAUGUAAAGCUCUAUCAGCAGGGAAGAAAAAAAUGACGGUACCUGAGUAAGAAGCACCGGCUAAAUACGUGCCAGCAGCCGCGGGAAUACGUAUGGUGCAAGCGUUAUCCGGAUUUACUGGGUGUAAAGGGAGCGUAGGCGGCGCGUUAAGUCUGAUGUGAAAACCCGAGGCUCAACCACGGGAGUGCAUUGGAAACUGGCGGGCUGGAGUGCCGGAGAGGUAAGCGGAAUUCCUAGUGUAGCGGUGAAAUGCGUAGAUAUUAGGAGGAACACCAGUGGCGAAGGCGGCUUACUGGACGGCAACUGACGUUGAGGCUCGAAAGCGUGGGGAGCACACAGGAUUAGAUACCCGCGUAA